AAAAUUAAAAAGAUUCGGUUUUUCGAUUUUUUGUCUAGAAUCGAGAAUCGAACCGUACUCGUCGGUUCUAAAUUCAAAUACCCGUUUGGGUAUUUAAUUUGACAAGAAUCGUCGAAUUAGGUUCAGUUCGAUUCAGUCGGUUCGGUUCGGGAGAUUUACCCAGCCCUAUGCAAAGCAUUGCAAAAGGCUUUUUCUUUCGCAACGUUUGCAGAGCAUUGCAAAAAUCUUUCUCUUUCACAACGUUUCUAAAAUAAUGUCUAAAACUCUCUUUCGUAACGUUUAUAAAAUGUUGCCAAAAACCUUCACUCGGAUAGCAAUCCAAGUCACUCCUCCUUAUUCCAAUCUCUGUCGUCAAAUACUCUUUAAAUCAAAGUCUCUCACUAAUCCUUCGAAUUCCCAAAUUUAAAGCACGCCAAAAUUUCUACCUUUUGUCCCUCCAUUCCCUAAGAUAAACCCUUCAUCCCUCCUAUUAUCCUCAAAAUUCCAUGUUCACCCAAAGAUUAAUCAAUAAAUACUCUUUUUGUAUAUAUACCUUCACUUCCAUCUUCCAAUGCCUCGUACAAAGUAGACAACUAGCAAAUCAAUAGGAGGCAAGGCUCUUUGUAAGUAUAUCAGUACCAAGGCCGCCAGGAAAUCUGUCUCGACGAUUGGUGGUGUUAAAAAGCCCCAUCGCUUCUGCCUGGUAUAUUGGCUCUCUAUGAGAUCUAGAAGUACAAGAAGUCUUUCACUCUUGAUCCGCAAGUCCCCCUUCCAGGGGCUGGUCCAUGAAAUCGCCCAGGACUUUAAAACUAAUUUUUGAUUCCAGCGCUCUACUGUGGUGGCGCUACAGAAGGCUGCAGAGGCGUACCUAGUUGGGCUUUUUUAGGAUACAAAUCUUUAUGCUAUUCAUGCCAAGAGGGUUGCUAUUAUGCCUAAGGAUAUCCAGCUUGUGAGGAGGAUUAGGGGUGAACAUGUGUAAAUGGGUUUGAUCUAGAUCUGUCUUUUUGGAGGGUUUCAUAUUGGUGAUGGCUGUGUAAACUUUGUUUCAAUCAGUAGAUGAGUAUCUGCAAAACUCCUGGUUUGCUACUGUAAUGAAAUUGAUGAUUAAUUGAAUCUACAUUUUAU
This 1104-nucleotide long non-coding RNA is filed under the name Olea europaea subsp. europaea. The record is from RNAcentral. Lineage: Eukaryota; Viridiplantae; Streptophyta; Magnoliopsida; Lamiales; Oleaceae.